RNAcentral lists this ribosomal RNA (398 nucleotides) under Pseudomonas sp. RNAcentral describes it as "bacterial SSU rRNA". It matches the Rfam family "Bacterial small subunit ribosomal RNA", at positions 346 to 733 of the family's 1533-position model. Lineage: Bacteria; Pseudomonadati; Pseudomonadota; Gammaproteobacteria; Pseudomonadales; Pseudomonadaceae. The record is from RNAcentral.
AGGCAGCCGUUGGGAAUUUUCGGCAAUGGGGGGAACUCUGAUCCAGCCCCGCCGCGUGUGUGAAGAAGGCUUUUGGGUUGUAAAACUCUUUUAUUUUGGAAGAGCGAACUCUAGUUAAUUCCUAUGGUUUUUUGACGUUACCUACAGAAUAAGCACCGGCUAACUUCGUGCCAGCAGCCGCGGUAAUACGGAGGGUGCAAGCGUUAUUCGGAUUUAUUGGGCGUAAAGCGCGCGUAGGUGGUUUAUUAAGUCGGAUGUGAAAUCCCCGGGCUCAACUUGGGAACUGCAUUCAAAACUGGUGAGCUAGAGUACGGAAGAGGGUGGUGGAAUUCCAUGUGUAGCGGUGAAAUGCGUAGAUAUAUGGAAGGAACACCGGUGGCGAAGGCAGCCACCUGAGU